AGCGAACGCUGGCGGCGUGCCUAACACAUGCAAGUCGAACGUGAAAAGGGAAAUCUCUGUAGGGUUGCGUACGGGUGAGUAACGCGUAGGUAAUCUACCCCAGAAUCUGUAAUAACUUGCCGAAAGACGGGCGAAUACUGGAUACAGCGAGGGAACUCGUGAGAGAGUUUUUCGGUCAGGGGAGCCCGCAAGGGCCUUCGCUCGGGGAUGAUCCUGAGUCUCAUUAGGUAGUUUGUAAGGUAACGGCUUACCAAGGCUAAGAUGAGUAGCUGGUCUGGAAAGAAGGACCAGCAAACUUGGAAUGGAACAAGGUCCAGGAUCCUUCGGGAGGCAGCAGGGGGGGAACAUGCGAAAUGGGGGAAAGGCUGAAGCAACCAAGCCGGGUGAGGGGAGAAGGCCUUCGGGUUGUAAAGCCCUGUCGGGUGGGAAGAAAAGCCUCAUAGUGAAUAGCUAUGAGGACUGACGGUACCAUCAAAGGAAGCACCGGCUAACUCCGUG
RNAcentral lists this ribosomal RNA (498 nucleotides) under uncultured bacterium. Its description in RNAcentral is "partial 16S ribosomal RNA". It matches the Rfam family "Bacterial small subunit ribosomal RNA", at positions 29 to 507 of the family's 1533-position model. The record is from RNAcentral.